RNAcentral lists this ribosomal RNA (468 nucleotides) under uncultured bacterium. Its description in RNAcentral is "bacterial SSU rRNA". It matches the Rfam family "Bacterial small subunit ribosomal RNA", at positions 330 to 795 of the family's 1533-position model. The record is from RNAcentral.
GCCAGACUCCUACGGGAGGCAGCAGUGAGGAAUAUUGGUCAAUGGACGCAAGUCUGAACCAGCCAUGCCGCGUGCAGGAAGACGGCUCUAUGAGUUGUAAACUGCUUUUGUACGAGGGUAAAUGCAGGUACGUGUAUCUGUUUGAAAGUAUCGUACGAAUAAGGAUCGGCUAACUCCGUGCCAGCAGCCGCGGUAAUACGGAGGAUCCAAGCGUUAUCCGGAUUUAUUGGGUUUAAAGGGUGCGCAGGCGGUUUUAUAAGUUAGAGGUGAAAUGUCGGGGCUCAACCCCGAAACUGCCUCUAAUACUGUUGGACUAGAGAAUAGUUGCGGUAGGCGGAAUGUAUGGUGUAGCGGUGAAAUGCUUAGAGAUCAUACAGAACACCGAUUGCGAAGGCAGCUUGCUAGGCCGGAUCUGACACUGAUGCACGAAAGCGUGGGGAUCGAACAGGAUUAGAUACCCUGGUAUAA